UUCUUGGUCAUUUAGAGGAAGUAAAAGUCGUAACAAGGUUUCCGUAGGUGAACCUGCGGAAGGAUCAUUACAGAAAGUAAACGCGGAUCAAACCGCGAACUUCUAAACCUUUGACGAUUGACUCAUGUUGCCUCGGCGGGUUCUUCCGCCAGAGGAUACAUCAAAACUCCUGUUUUAACGGUGUUGUCUGAGCUGCAAGCAACGAAUCAAAACUUUCAACAACGGAUCUCUUGGUUCUGGCAUCGAUGAAGAACGCAGCGAAAUGCGAUAAGUAGUGUGAAUUGCAGAAUUCAGUGAAUCAUCGAAUCUUUGAACGCACAUUGCGCCCCUUGGUAUCCCGAGGGGCAUGCCUGUUCGAGCGUCAUUUAACCACUCAAGCCCGGCUUGGUGUUGGGCGACGUCUCCUUUAGGGACGCGUCUCGAAACGCUCGGCGGCGUGGCACCGGCUUUAAGCGUAGCAGAAUCUUUCGCUUUGAAAGUCGGGGCCUCGUCUGCCGGAAGACCUACUCGCAAGGUUGACCUCGGAUCAGGCAGGGAUACCCGCUGAACUUAAGCAUAUCAAU
RNAcentral lists this unclassified non-coding RNA (563 nucleotides) under Cenococcum geophilum. Its description in RNAcentral is "partial contains ITS1, 5.8S rRNA and ITS2". The stretch from base 211 to 364 matches the Rfam family "5.8S ribosomal RNA". Lineage: Eukaryota; Fungi; Ascomycota; Dothideomycetes; Gloniales; Gloniaceae. The record is from RNAcentral.